UACGAAGGGGGCUAGCGUUGCUCGGAAUCACUGGGCGUAAAGGGCGCGUAGGCGGCCGAUUAAGUCGGGGGUGAAAGCCUGUGGCUCAACCACAGAAUUGCCUUCGAUACUGGUUGGCUUGAGACCGGAAGAGGACAGCGGAACUGCGAGUGUAGAGGUGAAAUUCGAUUAGAUAUUCGCAAGAACACCAGUGGCGAAGGCGGCUGUCUGGUCCGGUUCUGACGCUGAGGCGCGAAAGCGUGGGGAGCAAACAGG
Molecule: ribosomal RNA, 255 nt
Filed under: uncultured bacterium
Lineage: Bacteria
Description: partial 16S ribosomal RNA
Rfam family: Bacterial small subunit ribosomal RNA
Source: RNAcentral